RNAcentral lists this ribosomal RNA (241 nucleotides) under uncultured bacterium. Its description in RNAcentral is "partial 16S ribosomal RNA". It matches the Rfam family "Bacterial small subunit ribosomal RNA", at positions 524 to 761 of the family's 1533-position model. The record is from RNAcentral.
GACGGAGGAGGCAAGCGUUAUCCGGAAUUAUUGGGCGUAAAGCGUCCGCAGGCGGCUUUUUAAGUCUGUUGUCAAAGCCCACAGCCUCAACUGUGGAUCGGCAAUGGAAACUGGGAAGCUAGAGUGUGGUAGGGGUAGAGGGAAUUCCCGGUGUAGUGGUGAAAUGCGUAGAUAUCGGGAGGAACACCAGUGGCGAAGGCGGCUUCCUGGCCUGGUUCUUGACGCUGAGGCGGCGAAAGCU